Long non-coding RNA from Sebastes umbrosus (honeycomb rockfish), 1301 nucleotides. RefSeq lists it as uncharacterized. The record is from RefSeq and is a predicted model, not a curated record. The transcript has 5 exons. NCBI's taxonomy places the organism in Eukaryota, Metazoa, Chordata, Actinopteri, Perciformes, Sebastidae.
CAUAAAAGUAAUUAAGCAUAUUACUUCAGAAAAUUCUGAUUGGAAUAAUUGCUUUAGAGUGAGUGAAGUGACUGAUUCAUAAUGUAAUCACAAUCAUAUCAGAGUUUCUUUUAGCCCAAAGCUGACAUGUACUUUUUAAUGAUACAGCACAAUUUUAUAAUUUAUAGCAAAUUAUUUCGCGGACCCCCUGACAGAAUGCCAUGGACCUUUGGGGGUCCCCGGGCCCUACUUUGAGAACCACCGGUAUAGAGCGUAUAAGCAUUACACUUACCUUUUUAGCAGGAUACUUUUUAACCUAAAUGGAAAUUAUGGGGCCCAUUAUAAUUUGUACAAAAAAAAUCGGGAGAAACUUUAUUAAAUUACUUUUAUUCUGAAAAUACAACUGGUUGUAGGUUAGUUUGACACGAGGUCACAGUUCUCCUGAUUUAGACUAAAUACUCCGUGCAUUAGCAGUCUCAUUGAUGUUUUCUCUGUGUUGUGAAACCUAUAAUUAGUCCACGUAUCGCCUUUUGACCCUUCUUCCAGCUUGUUACCCUUUCUUUCCCGUCCUCCCCUACGAGCCCCGGCGGUGCGGCGGUAACCCCAGUGUCGUCUCGCGGUGCUUCUGGGCUUCCGAGCCGGCUGCUCCUCAGACACCUGCAGGCUGCAGGCCGGCGACGGUCCACAGCGGGCGGCUUCCUGACCAGACUACACACGACAUAUGACAUGUAGUGGGGUCAUUUGUGUGGAACCAGGUGCAGAUUUCAACAUUUGAACUAUAGUGCAGUCAAAUGUUUAGACAGCCUCCAAGUCCUGACUUCCAACGAACUGCAGGAGCAGCGGACACCUCAACCCAAUUCAACAGGGCAAAUCCGGCCGGAGAGACCAGAACAAUGCUAUCAGUGAGAAUGCUUUCAGCUGGACUCACCUGGCUGAAGGGCCUAGGCCAGGCCUGUGGAGGUUGAAGUGAGUGGACCUCAGAGGGCCUCAAACUAUUAAUUCCUGGCCUGGAACAGCAGCUUGGGCUCUCGCUGCAAAAAUGUAGUCUGGUUGUGCAGAGCAGAAACAGGAAGUGUGAAUCAGCUUAAAUACUGCGAAAGAGAGCCGUCUGCUUGACCAAAUAAGAAGAGUAAACAGCAGUCAGUCCGCUGGGAUCUCUGCUGCUGCUGCUUUCAAUGAAAAGCAGAUGAUGACUGAAGAUCCGUUGAAAUGUCAACAUACCCAAAACAAGAAAACAAACUUUGUAGUUCAACCCUUGGACAAUGAGUAACGAGAUGCAUCAUUCCAUCACAUUUUGUGAAUACACAAUAAAUAGCAUACAA